RNAcentral lists this ribosomal RNA (502 nucleotides) under uncultured bacterium. RNAcentral's name for it is "partial 16S ribosomal RNA". It matches the Rfam family "Bacterial small subunit ribosomal RNA", at positions 29 to 523 of the family's 1533-position model. The record is from RNAcentral.
AUUGAACGCUGGCGGCAUGCCUUACACAUGCUAGUCGAACGGCAGCACGGGUGCUUGCACCUGGUGGCGAGUGGCGAACGGGUGAGUAAUACAUCGGAACGUACCUUAUCGUGGGGGAUAACGCAGCGAAAGCUGUGCUAAUACCGCAUACGCCCUGAGGGGGAAAGCGGGGGAUCGAAAGACCUCGCGCGAUUAGAGCGGCCGAUGCCUGAUUAGCUUGUUGGUGGGGUAAAAGCCCACCAAGGCGACGAUCAGUAGCUGGUCUGAGAGGACGAUCAGCCACACUGGGACUGAGACACGGCCCAGACUCCUACGGGAGGCAGCAGUGGGGAAUUUUGGACAAUGGGGGCAACCCUGAUCCAGCAAUGCCGCGUGAGUGAAGAAGGCCUUCGGGUUGUAAAGCGCUUUUGGCAGGGAGCAAAUCCUUGUGGCUAAUACCCACCGGGGAUGAGGGUACCUGAAGAAUAAGCCCCGGCUAACUACGUGCCAGCCGCCGCCGUAA